This 301-nucleotide ribosomal RNA is filed under the name uncultured bacterium. RNAcentral describes it as "partial 16S ribosomal RNA". It matches the Rfam family "Bacterial small subunit ribosomal RNA", at positions 509 to 808 of the family's 1533-position model. The record is from RNAcentral.
CAGUCGCCACGGUAAUGCGUAGGUGGCAAGCGUUGUCCGGAAUUAUUGGGCGUAAAGGGCUCGCAGGCGGUUUCUUAAGUCUGAUGUGAAAGCCCCCGGCUCAACCGGGGAGGGUCAUUGGAAACUGGGAAACUUGAGUGCAGAAGAGGAGAGUGGAAUUCCACGUGUAGCGGUGAAAUGCGUAGAGAUGUGGAGGAACACCAGUGGCGAAGGCGACUCUCUGGUCUGUAACUGACGCUGAGGAGCGAAAGCAUGGGGAACGAACAGGAUUAGAGACCCGUGUAGUCCCUGUCUCUAUACA